AACUUUUAACAACGGAUCUCUUGGCUUUCGCAUCGAUGAAGAACGCCGCGAAAGUGCGAAACGUAAUGUGAAUUGCAGAAUUCAGUGAAUCAUCGAAUCUUUGAACGCACCUUGCGCUCCUUGGUAUUCCGAGGAGCAUGCCUGUUUGAGUGUCGUGAACCCUCUCAAGCUCGCUCCUUUGCUGGGGCGGGUUUGGAUUUGGACGCCUGCGGCCGAAAAGGCCCGCUCGUCUUUAAAUGCAUUUAGCCGGGUCCCUAUGGUCAGGUCCAAGCGACGGUGUGAUAAACAUACGCUUAGUGCGCCGUUCGUCGCCGGCCGUGGGGGGUUGCUUACAGUCGUCUUUGGACAAGCCUUUCAUGUCAUCUGACCUCAAAUCAGGUAGGACUACCCGCUGAACUUAAGCAUAUCAAUAAGCGGAGGCU
RNAcentral lists this unclassified non-coding RNA (422 nucleotides) under uncultured Gautieria. RNAcentral describes it as "sequence contains ITS2". The stretch from base 1 to 155 matches the Rfam family "5.8S ribosomal RNA". Lineage: Eukaryota; Fungi; Basidiomycota; Agaricomycetes; Gomphales; Gomphaceae. The record is from RNAcentral.